Long non-coding RNA from Megalops cyprinoides (Indo-Pacific tarpon), 230 nucleotides. RefSeq lists it as uncharacterized. The record is from RefSeq and is a predicted model, not a curated record. NCBI's taxonomy places the organism in Eukaryota, Metazoa, Chordata, Actinopteri, Elopiformes, Megalopidae. The transcript has 3 exons.
AUUUUUUUUUAAUUUUCUUCUUUUUCUUGCCCAAAAAUUCAGUGAACAUCAAUGUCCUACACUGACCACCAGAUGGCGCUGAUGUACCGGUGAACGUCAAUGUCCUACACUGACCACCAGAUGGCGCUGAUGUACCGGGUUCAGAAGUCAAUCCUUUGGCUGGAGACCGUAUCACCCCCCACCACCUGAUUUUUGCCUCCGUGUGUUUAAAGCUGUAGUGUCAGUAGCUU